This 88-nucleotide transfer RNA is filed under the name Candidatus Jacksonbacteria bacterium RIFCSPLOWO2_02_FULL_44_20. Its description in RNAcentral is "tRNA-Ser". It matches the Rfam family "tRNA". Rfam says of the family: Transfer RNA (tRNA) molecules are approximately 80 nucleotides in length. Their secondary structure includes four short double-helical elements and three loops (D, anti-codon, and T loops). Lineage: Bacteria; Candidatus Jacksoniibacteriota. RNAcentral also lists the same sequence under 3 other names. The record is from RNAcentral.
GGAGAGGUCGCAUAGAGGCCGAGUGCGCUCGCUUGGAAAGCGGGUAUACCGCAAGGUAUCGCGGGUUCGAAUCCCGCCCUCUCCGCCA